UUGACUAAGGUUUCCAGAGGAAGGCUCGUCCGCUCUGGGUUAGUCGGGUCCUAAGCUGAGGCCGACAGGCGUAGGCGAUGGAUAACAGGUUGAUAUUCCUGUACCACCUAUAAUCGUUUUAAUCGAUGGGGGGACGCAGUAGGAUAGGCGAAGCGUGCGAUUGGAUUGCACGUCUAAGCAGUAAGGCUGAGUAUUAGGCAAAUCCGGUACUCGUUAAGGCUGAGCUGUGAUGGGGAGAAGACAUUGAGUCUUCGAGUCGUUGAUUUCACACUGCCGAGAAAAGCCUCUAGAUAGAAAAUAGGUGCCCGUACCGCAAACCGACACAGGUAGUCAAGAUGAGAAUUCUAAGGUGAGCGAGCGAACUCUCGUUAAGGAACUCGGCAAAAUGACCCCGUAACUUCGGGAGAAGGGGUGCUCUUUAGGGUUAACGCCCAGAAGAGCCGCAGUGAAUAGGCCCAAGCGACUGUUUAUCAAAAACACAGGUCUCUGCUAAACCGUAAGGUGAUGUAUAGGGGCUGACGCCUGCCCGGUGCUGGAAGGUUAAGAGGAGUGGUUAGCUUCUGCGAAGCUACGAAUCGAAGCCCCAGUAAACGGCGGCCGUAACUAUAACGGUCCUAAGGUAGCGAAAUUCCUUGUCGGGUAAGUUCCGACCCGCACGAAAGGCGUAACGAUUUGGGCACUGUCUCAACGAGAGACUCGGUGAAAUCAUAGUACCUGUGAAGAUGCAGGUUACCCGCGACAGGACGGAAAGACCCCGUGGAGCUUUACUGUAGCCUGAUAUUGAAAUUCGGCACAGCUUGUACAGGAUAGGUAGGAGCCUUUGAAACGUGAGCGCUAGCUUACGUGGAGGCGCUGGUGGGAUACUACCCUAGCUGUGUUGGCUUUCUAACCCGCACCACUUAUCGUGGUGGGAGACAGUGUCAAGCGGGCAGUUUGACUGGGGCGGUCGCCUCCUAAAAGGUAACGGAGGCGCUCAAAGGUUCCCUCAGAAUGGUUGGAAAUCAUUCAUAGAGUGUAAAGGCAUAAGGGAGCUUGACUGCGAGACCUACAAGUCGAGCAGGGUCGAAAGACGGACUUAGUGAUCCGGUGGUUCCGCAUGGAAGGGCCAUCGCUCAACGGAUAAAAGCUACCCCGGGGAUAACAGGCUUAUCUCCCCCAAGAGUUCACAUCGACGGGGAGGUUUGGCACCUCGAUGUCGGCUCAUCGCAUCCUGGGGCUGUAGUCGGUCCCAAGGGUUGGGCUGUUCGCCCAUUAAAGCGGUACGCGAGCUGGGUUCAGAACGUCGUGAGACAGUUCGGUCCCUAUCCGUCGUGGGCGUAGGAAAUUUGAGAGGAGCUGUCCUUAGUACGAGAGGACCGGGAUGGACAUACCUCUGGUGUACCAGUUGUCGUGCCAACGGCAUAGCUGGGUAGCUAUGUGUGGACGGGAUAAGUGCUGAAAGCAUCUAAGCAUGAAGCCCCCCUCAAGAUGAGAUUUCCCAACUUC
RNAcentral lists this ribosomal RNA (1485 nucleotides) under Staphylococcus aureus. Its description in RNAcentral is "partial 23S ribosomal RNA". It matches the Rfam family "Bacterial large subunit ribosomal RNA", at positions 1341 to 2821 of the family's 2925-position model. The record is from RNAcentral. Lineage: Bacteria; Bacillati; Bacillota; Bacilli; Caryophanales; Staphylococcaceae.